AUGGAUCCUACUACGUGCUCAACCCCGCGACGGCACGCCCUGGCUUUCGACCCUGCCGUGUCGCUACACUACCAUGUGUUCCUCUUUCCGGAGGGUGGCCUGCUCAAGGAGCCAUUAUCAGCCACUAAGACGCAAGGCGAGGUUCCGCCGCUCGGGGAAGCACAAGCGAAGAAGGUCGAGAAGCCCAAGAAAAAUGCGUGGCCAAUGUUAAUGUACUCAUCAUGCACAGGGCGAUGGGAGGACCGAGAGUUCACGCCUGGGCGUUGUUCCCCGGGGCACCUCUACGAUAUGAUUGGCAGAACUCCUGAGAGCUACGGGGGUACAUUUGAUUCAUCUAAUUACUGGUGUGGGUCUGUCUACAUGCAUUGCGACAACAAUAAUGUCCUCGUGAUCCUACGCCCCUCGAAGGGGACUUAUGAUAUGGUCCAACUUCCCGGGGAACCCUGCGGUGCAAGAAGCGGGCUCUCGCUGCCCCAAAAAUCGGUCAUAGCAAGUUAUGAGAGAGGGGUACAUUAUGUGGCGACUAACAAUUCGCAGCUUCGAGUUUGGAUGCUAAAUGAAUUGACUGAUGGACGGCUAGGUUGGACACUGUCACACGAUGCCAGCCUCAAUCUGCAUGGCCAUAUGAUUCACACUCUUAAAAUACAACCCAAGGUGACAUGGAGGAUUGUUGGAAGCAGUGGUGGACCAGUCAGCUUGACCGACGAUGACGCCGAGGACGACUGGGCCACAUCAUAUGACUCUGAGCAUUCCUGGAACUCGGAUGAGGACAACUUCAUCGACAUGGUUGGAGGCGCCAACCACGACCAGUCGGUAGAACGGGGUGCCUAUUGCAGUAUCAUGGGAUUCCAUCCGCACAAGAAUGCACUCAUCCUCAUGCUUAACGGCGCGGUGGUAGUGUACCAUCUCGACACAUCAAGGAUGCAGUAUCUAGGAGAUGCGGAUGAGCUCGAUAAACACCACACGCAAGCAGCUUGUUGUGUCGAUGAUUCAUUCAUUUACCGACCUUGCUAUAAGGAUAUGCUCCCAACAAGGAAAUUAUCCAUGCCACCUUAA
Molecule: ribosomal RNA, 1056 nt
Filed under: Triticum aestivum (bread wheat)
Lineage: Eukaryota; Viridiplantae; Streptophyta; Magnoliopsida; Poales; Poaceae
Description: partial small subunit ribosomal RNA
Source: RNAcentral